RNAcentral lists this ribosomal RNA (242 nucleotides) under uncultured Staphylococcus sp. RNAcentral's name for it is "partial 16S ribosomal RNA". It matches the Rfam family "Bacterial small subunit ribosomal RNA", at positions 97 to 334 of the family's 1533-position model. Lineage: Bacteria; Bacillati; Bacillota; Bacilli; Caryophanales; Staphylococcaceae. The record is from RNAcentral.
GGCGAACGGGUGAGUAACACGUGAGUAACCUGCCCUUGACUUUGGGAUAACUUCGGGAAACCGGAGCUAAUACCGGAUAAUAUAUUGAACCGUAUGGUUCAAUAGUGAAAGACGGUUUGCUGUCACUUAUAGAUGGAUCCGCGCCGCAUUAGCUAGUUGGUAAGGUAACGGCUUACCAAGGCAACGAUGCGUAGCCGACCUGAGAGGGUGAUCGGCCACACUGGAACUGAGACACGGUCCAG